RNAcentral lists this transfer RNA (60 nucleotides) under Ditylum brightwellii. It matches the Rfam family "tRNA", at positions 8 to 63 of the family's 71-position model. From Rfam's summary of the family: Transfer RNA (tRNA) molecules are approximately 80 nucleotides in length. Their secondary structure includes four short double-helical elements and three loops (D, anti-codon, and T loops). The record is from RNAcentral. Lineage: Eukaryota; Bacillariophyta; Thalassiosirophyceae; Lithodesmiales; Lithodesmiaceae.
UAGCUCAGUCGUAAGAGCGCUCGGCUUUUAACCGUGUGGUCGUGGGUUCGAUCCCCACAU